GUGGGGAAUCUUCCGCAAUGGGCGCAAGCCUGACGGAGCAACGCCGCGUGAAUGAAGAAGGCCUUCGGGUCGUAAAGUUCUGUCUUUAGAGAAGAAGUCUCUCUAUGUGAAUAAUGUAGAGAGGUGACGGUACCUAAGGAGGAAGCUCCGGCUAACUACGUGCCAGCAGCCGCGGUAAUACGUAGGGAGCAAGCGUUGUCCGGAAUUACUGGGCGUAAAGGGCGCGUAGGCGGAUAAUUAAGUCAGGUGUGAAAACUCUGGGCUCAACCUGGAGAUUGCACUUGAAACUGGUUAUCUUGAGGGCAGGAGAGGAAAGUGGAAUUCCUAGUGUAGCGGUGAAAUGCGUAGAUAUUAGGAGGAACACCAGUGGCGAAGGCGACUUUCUGGACUGCACCUGACGCUGAGGCGCGAAAGCGUGGGGAGCGAACGGGAUUAGAAACCCGGGUAGUCC
RNAcentral lists this ribosomal RNA (451 nucleotides) under uncultured bacterium. RNAcentral's name for it is "partial 16S ribosomal RNA". It matches the Rfam family "Bacterial small subunit ribosomal RNA", at positions 354 to 796 of the family's 1533-position model. The record is from RNAcentral.